CCUACGGGCUGCAGCAGUGAGGAAUAUUGGGCAAUGGACGCAAGUCUGACCCAGCCAUGCCGCGUGAAGGAUGAAGGCGUUCUGCGUUGUAAACUUCUUUUAUCAGGGCAGAAACCUAAGAUAUCUAUUUUAGUUGACGGUACCUGAGGAAUAAGCACCGGCUAACUCCGUGCCAGCAGCCGCGGUAAUACGGAGGGUGCAAGCGUUAUCCGGAUUUACUGGGUUUAAAGGGUGUGUAGGCGGGCUAUUAAGUCUGGGGUGAAAUCUCUGAGCUCAACUCAGAAACUGCCUUGGAUACUAUUAGUCUUGAAUCAUGUUGAGGUUGGCGGAAUAUAACAUGUAGCGGUGAGAUGCAUAGAUAUGUUAUAGAACACCGAUUGCGAAGGCAGCUGGCUAAACAUGCAUUGACGCUGAGGCACGAAAGCGUGGGGAUCAAACAGGAUUAGAUACCCCCGUAGUC
RNAcentral lists this ribosomal RNA (460 nucleotides) under uncultured bacterium. RNAcentral's name for it is "bacterial SSU rRNA". It matches the Rfam family "Bacterial small subunit ribosomal RNA", at positions 338 to 795 of the family's 1533-position model. The record is from RNAcentral.